This 502-nucleotide ribosomal RNA is filed under the name uncultured Glomeromycotina. RNAcentral's name for it is "partial small subunit ribosomal RNA". It matches the Rfam family "Eukaryotic small subunit ribosomal RNA", at positions 591 to 1092 of the family's 1831-position model. The record is from RNAcentral. Lineage: Eukaryota; Fungi; Glomeromycota.
CCAAUAGCGUAUAUUAAAGUUGUUGCAGUUAAAAAGCUCGUAGUUGAACUUCGGGGUCUACCCAUUGGUCAGGCUUAAUUGUCUGCACUGGUGAGAUGGAUCUCUACCUUCUGAGGAACUUUCAUGCCAUUUAUUUGGUGUGAUGGGAAAUCAGGACUGUUACUUUGAAAAAAUUAGAGUGUUUAAAGCAGACUAUCGUCUGAAUACAUUAGCAUGGAAUAAUGAAAUAGGACGGACUGAUUCUAUUUCGUUGGUUUCUAGGAUCACCGUAAUGAUUAAUAGGGAUAGUUGGGGGCAUUAGUAUUCAAUUGUCAGAGGUGAAAUUCUUGGAUUUAUUGAAGACUAACUACUGCGAAAGCAUUUGCCAAGGAUGUUUUCAUUAAUCAAGAACGAAAGUUAGGGGAUCGAAGACGAUCAGAUACCGUCGUAGUCUUAACCAUAAACUACGCCGACUAGGGAUCGGACGAAGUUAAUUUUAUAAUGACGCGUUCGGCACCUUACG